UCAUCAGUCAGGCUAGUGGUUAUACUCCAGGACUUAUCUGGUCCUGGAUAUAACCACUGCCAGACUGAAUG
Non-coding RNA from Mus musculus (house mouse), 71 nucleotides. The record is from Rfam. Lineage: Eukaryota; Metazoa; Chordata; Mammalia; Rodentia; Muridae.